GAUGAAGAACGUAGCGAAAUGCGAUAAGUAAUGUGAAUUGCAGAAUUCAGUGAAUCAUCGAAUCUUUGAACGCACCUUGCACUCCUUGGUAUUCCGAGGAGUACGCCUGUUCGAGUGUUAUGAAGCUCUCAAAACGCAAUUGGCUUAAAACCUGAUUGUUGUUUUGGAUUUGAACUUUGCCGUGUUAUAACGGCUGGUUUUAAAAGUAUUAGCUGGUACUAGAACGAAUUGGUUAUACUCAACGUGAUAAUUAUCUGAUCGUUGAGGACAUUCCUUUCACGAGGAAUGGCCAUAGUAAAUUCAAUGGACUGCUUCUAAUCUGGCUUUAAUUCUUUAUUGGAUUAACCACUUUUCAAAUCUGACCUCGAAUCAGGUGGGACUACCCGCUGAACUUAAGCAUAUCAAUAAGCGGAGGA
Molecule: unclassified non-coding RNA, 416 nt
Filed under: soil metagenome
Description: partial contains 5.8S ribosomal RNA, internal transcribed spacer 2, and large subunit ribosomal RNA
Rfam family: 5.8S ribosomal RNA (bases 1-120)
Source: RNAcentral